GUAGGGAAUAUUGGGCAAUGGAUGCAAGUCUGACCCAGCCAUCCCGCGUGCCGGAAGAAGGCCCUCAGGGUUGUAAACGGCUUUUGACGGUGAAGAAUCGACAGGAUGCGUCCUGUUUUGACGGUAGCCGUUGAAUAAGCACCGGCUAACUCCGUGCCAGCAGCCGCGGUAAUACGGAGGGUGCGAGCGUUGUCCGGAUUUAUUGGGUUUAAAGGGUGCGUAGGCUGGAAGGUCAGUCAGCGGUGAAAAGCUAUCGCUUAACGAUAGUCUUGCCGCAGAUACUUCCUUUCGUGGAUGAGGAGGAGGCCACUGGAACGGAUGGUGUAGCGGUGAAAUGCAUAGAUAUCAUCCAGAACACCGAUUGCGAAGGCAGGUGGCUGUACCUUAAUCGACGCUGAUGCACGAAAGCAUGGGGAGCAAACAGGAUUAGAAACCCCUGUAGUCC
This 445-nucleotide ribosomal RNA is filed under the name uncultured bacterium. RNAcentral's name for it is "partial 16S ribosomal RNA". It matches the Rfam family "Bacterial small subunit ribosomal RNA", at positions 354 to 796 of the family's 1533-position model. The record is from RNAcentral.